AUGAACGCUGGCGGCGUGCCUAAUACCUGCAAGUCGAGCGAACAGACGAGGAGCUUGCUCCUCUGACGUUAGCGGCGGACGGGUGAGUAACACGUGGAUAACCUACCUAUAAGACUGGGAUAACUUCGGGAAACCGGAGCUAAUACCGGAUAAUAUCUUGAACCGCAUGGUUCAAUAGUGAAAGACGGUUUUGCUGUCACUUAUAGAUGGAUCCGCGCCGCAUUAGCUAGUUGGUAAGGUAACGGCUUACCAAGGCAACGAUGCGUAGCCGACCUGAGAGGGUGAUCGGCCACACUGGAACUGAGACACGGUCCAGACUCCUACGGGAGGCAGCAGUAGGGAAUCUUCCGCAAUGGGCGAAAGCUUGACGGAGCAACGCCGCGUGAGUGAUGAAGGUCUUCGGAUCGUAAAACUCUGUUAUUAGGGAAGAACAAAUGUGUAAGUAACUAUGCACGUCUUGACGGUACCUAAUCAGAAAGCCACGGCUAACUACGUG
Molecule: ribosomal RNA, 496 nt
Filed under: uncultured bacterium
Lineage: Bacteria
Description: partial 16S ribosomal RNA
Rfam family: Bacterial small subunit ribosomal RNA
Source: RNAcentral